Molecule: ribosomal RNA, 253 nt
Filed under: uncultured bacterium
Lineage: Bacteria
Description: partial 16S ribosomal RNA
Rfam family: Bacterial small subunit ribosomal RNA
Source: RNAcentral
UACGUAGGUGGCAAGCGUUGUCCGGAAUUAUUGGGCGUAAAGCGCGCGCAGGCGGUCCUUUAAGUCUGAUGUGAAAGCCCACGGCUCAACCGUGGAGGGUCAUUGGAAACUGGAGGACUUGAGUACAGAAGAGGAAAGCGGAAUUCCACGUGUAGCGGUGAAAUGCGUAGAGAUGUGGAGGAACACCAGUGGCGAAGGCGGCUUUCUGGUCUGUAACUGACGCUGAGGCGCGAAAGCGUGGGGAGCGAACAGG